GGCCCCGUAGUUCAACGGAUAGAACGGAAGUUUCCUAAACUUUAAAUAGCAGUUCGAUUCUGCUCGGGGCUA
RNAcentral lists this transfer RNA (72 nucleotides) under Candidatus Pullibacteroides excrementavium. RNAcentral describes it as "tRNA-Arg". It matches the Rfam family "tRNA". Rfam says of the family: Transfer RNA (tRNA) molecules are approximately 80 nucleotides in length. Their secondary structure includes four short double-helical elements and three loops (D, anti-codon, and T loops). The record is from RNAcentral. Lineage: Bacteria; Pseudomonadati; Bacteroidota; Bacteroidia; Bacteroidales.